GAGAACAUAGCUCAAUUGGUUAGAGUAUUGGCUUGUCACGCCAGAGGUCGCGGGUUCGAGUCCCGUUGUUCUCG
RNAcentral lists this transfer RNA (74 nucleotides) under Trebouxia sp. A1-2. Its description in RNAcentral is "tRNA-Asp". It matches the Rfam family "tRNA". Rfam says of the family: Transfer RNA (tRNA) molecules are approximately 80 nucleotides in length. Their secondary structure includes four short double-helical elements and three loops (D, anti-codon, and T loops). Further hydrogen bonds mediate the characteristic L-shaped molecular structure. tRNAs have two regions of fundamental functional importance: the anti-codon, which is responsible for specific mRNA codon recognition, and the 3' end, to which the tRNAs corresponding amino acid is attached (by aminoacyl-tRNA synthetases). tRNAs cope with the degeneracy of the genetic code in two manners: having more than one tRNA (with a specific anti-codon) for a particular amino acid; and 'wobble' base-pairing, i.e. permitting non-standard base-pairing at the 3rd anti-codon position. RNAcentral also lists the same sequence under 1 other name. Lineage: Eukaryota; Viridiplantae; Chlorophyta; Trebouxiophyceae; Trebouxiales; Trebouxiaceae. The record is from RNAcentral.